Molecule: ribosomal RNA, 406 nt
Filed under: uncultured bacterium
Lineage: Bacteria
Description: partial 16S ribosomal RNA
Rfam family: Bacterial small subunit ribosomal RNA
Source: RNAcentral
AUUGAACGCUGGCGGCAGGCUUAACACAUGCAAGUCGAGCGAGCGGCGGACGGGUGAGUAAUGUAUGGGAAACUGCCUGAUGGAGGGGGAUAACUACUGGUAACGGUUACUAAUACCGCAUACCAUCAGAUGUGCCCAGAUGGGAUUAGCUAGUAGGUGGGGUAAUGGCUCACCAAGGCGACGAUCCCUAGCUGGUUUGAGAGGAUGACCAGCCACACUGGAACUGAGACACGGUCCAGACUCCGACGGGAGGCAGCAGUGGGGAAUAUUGGACAAUGGGGGAAAUCCUGAUGCAGCCAUGCCGCGUGUGUGAAGAAGGCCUUCGGGUUGUAAAGCACUUUAAGCGAGGAGGCGUUACUCGCAGAAUAAGCACCGGCUAACUCCGUGCCAGCAGCCGCGGUAAUUC